This 462-nucleotide ribosomal RNA is filed under the name uncultured bacterium. RNAcentral describes it as "partial 16S ribosomal RNA". It matches the Rfam family "Bacterial small subunit ribosomal RNA", at positions 28 to 506 of the family's 1533-position model. The record is from RNAcentral.
GACGAACGCUGGCGGCGUGCUUAACACAUGCAAGUCGAACGGAAAGGCCUUUUCGGAGGUACUCGAGUGGCGAACGGGUGAGUAACACGUGGGUGAUCUGCCCUGCACUCUGGGAUAAGCCUGGGAAACUGGGUCUAAUACCGGAUAGGACCGCACUUUAGUGUGUGUGGUGGAAAGUUUUUUCGGUGUAGGAUGAGCCCGCGGCCUAUCAGCUUGUUGGUGGGGUAAUGGCCUACCAAGGCGGCGACGGGUAGCCGGACUGAGAGGUUGGUCGGCCACAUUGGGACUGAGAUACGGCCCAGACUCCUACGGGAGGCAGCAGUGGGGAAUAUUGCACAAUGGGCGCAAGCCUGAUGCAGCGACGCCGCGUGGGGGAUGACGGCCUUCGGGCUGUAAACUCCUUUCGCCAGGGACGAAGCGUUUUGUGACGGUACCUGGAGAAGAAGCACCGGCUAACUACGU